AAGGCAAGGUGAAAAAAAAAAAGGCCACAACAAACCAAAAACAACAAUACAACACAAAAGCAAGGGGUCUAUGGUUGGGAAAAAUGACUUCCCAUUCUCAUUUUCCCUUGAAAAGGAAGCAUUUUCCAUGACAAAGAAAAUGUUUUCCCCAUUCUCAAUUUUUUUUAUGUGACUGCCAAACAAUGGAAAACAAGGAAAAUAUUUUUUUACAAAACAAAUAGAUCCUUAGAUUGUAAGAAUUCGCAGAUAACACAUCAAACCUUUUCAAUUAAAAAAUGCAACACCACUAUUGGGAUUAUAAAUCCCACAUCAG
RNAcentral lists this unclassified non-coding RNA (313 nucleotides) under Hevea brasiliensis (rubber tree). Lineage: Eukaryota; Viridiplantae; Streptophyta; Magnoliopsida; Malpighiales; Euphorbiaceae. The record is from RNAcentral.